This 852-nucleotide ribosomal RNA is filed under the name uncultured bacterium. RNAcentral's name for it is "SSU rRNA". It matches the Rfam family "Bacterial small subunit ribosomal RNA", at positions 524 to 1381 of the family's 1533-position model. The record is from RNAcentral.
UAUGUAGGGUGCAAGCGUUAAUCGGAAUUACUGGGCGUAAAGCGUGCGCAGGCGGUUAUGUAAGACAGAGGUGAAAUCCCCGGGCUCAACCUGGGAACUGCCUUUGUGACUGCAUAGCUAGAGUACGGCAGAGGGGGAUGGAAUUCCGCGUGUAGCAGUGAAAUGCGUAGAUAUGCGGAGGAACACCGAUGGCGAAGGCAAUCCCCUGGGCCUGUACUGACGCUCAUGCACGAAAGCGUGGGGAGCAAACAGGAUUAGAUACCCUGGUAGUCCACGCCAUAAACGACGUCAACUGGUUGUUGGGUAUUUACUUACUCAGUAACGAAGCUAACGCGUGAAGUUGACCGCCUGGGGAGUACGGCCGCAAGGUUGAAACUUAAAGGAAUUGACGGGGACCCGCACAAGCGGUGGAUGAUGUGGUUUAAUUCGAUGCAACGCGAAAAACCUUACCCACCUUUGACAUGGCAGGAAGUUUCCAGAGAUGGAUUCGUGCUCGAAAGAGAACCUGCACACAGGUGCUGCAUGGCUGUCGUCGGCUCGUGUCGUGAGAUGUUGGGUUAAGUCCCGCAACGAGCGCAACCCUUGCCAUUAGUUGCUACGAAAGGGCACUCUAAUGGGACUGCCGGUGACAAACCGGAGGAAGGUGGGGAUGACGUCAAGUCCUCAUGGCCCUUAUAGGUGGGGCUACACACGUCAUACAAUGGCCGGUACAAAGGGUAGCCAACCCGCGAGGGGGAGCCAAUCCCAUAAAGCCGGUCGUAGUCCGGAUUGCAGUCUGCAACUCGACUGCAUGAAGUCGGAAUCGCUAGUAAUCGUGGAUCAGCAUGUCACGGUGAAUACGUUCCCGGGUCU